This 497-nucleotide ribosomal RNA is filed under the name uncultured bacterium. RNAcentral's name for it is "partial 16S ribosomal RNA". It matches the Rfam family "Bacterial small subunit ribosomal RNA", at positions 28 to 507 of the family's 1533-position model. The record is from RNAcentral.
GAUGAACGCUGGCGGCGUGCCUAAUACAUGCAAGUCGAGCGAACGGACGAGAAGCUUGCUUCUCUGAUGUUAGCGGCGGACGGGUGAGUAACACGUGGAUAACCUACCUAUAAGACUGGGAUAACUUCGGGAAACCGGAGCUAAUACCGGAUAAUAUUUUGAACCGCAUGGUUCAAAAGUGAAAGACGGUCUUGCUGUCACUUAUAGAUGGAUCCGCGCUGCAUUAGCUAGUUGGUAAGGUAACGGCUUACCAAGGCAACGAUGCAUAGCCGACCUCAGAGGGUGAUCGGCCACACUGGAACUGACACACGGUCCAGACUCCUACGGGAGGCAGCAGUAGGGAAUCUUCCGCAAUGGGCGAAAGCCUGACGGAGCAACGCCGCGUGAGUGAUGAAGGUCUUCGGAUCGUAAAACUCUGUUAUUAGGGAAGAACAUAUGUGUAAGUAACUGUGCACAUCUUGACGGUACCUAAUCAGAAAGCCACGGCUAACUACGUG